Molecule: unclassified non-coding RNA, 3821 nt
Filed under: Hevea brasiliensis (rubber tree)
Lineage: Eukaryota; Viridiplantae; Streptophyta; Magnoliopsida; Malpighiales; Euphorbiaceae
Source: RNAcentral
GGUAAACGUUCGGGUUCAAUGGGUAAUUCUCCAGUCUCCAGUCUACAGUGCGCGGCAUAACGGACGGUGGAGGCCCUGGCGCUUUCUUUUAAUACACACACUGACACACUGACACACACACACACACAUACACACAGCGUUUUUGCUCUUUCCCUCCUCUGCCUAAAAGCCCUCAGCGUCGCCUUCUUUCUUCAAAUGGAGAGAGUUUUGUAGGAGAAGGCUCUUGUUCUUUUCCAUUUGAGUUCGCUCUCUUGUCUCUAUGGAUCAUUAAUUUCUUGAUUGCUCUCCUUGUUUAAGUGGGUUUUGUUAAAUAUGAGCUGAGCCCUGAGUGUGUGGUUUCUUCAGCAUUGUAGAUAUAACAAUUGGAGGGCUUGUCCUGCUUGGAAUUACGUCAGGGGUCAUGGAUUCAGCAGAUCCCUGUCCAACUGAGGAUGCUCUUAAUACAUUGUUAGGGUACCUUGUUGAUCCAAAACUACCUUCAAAGUCUUCUGCAAGAGGUUCUCCAUCACAAUUUGAUCAGGAAUUUGUUGCAAAACAGAUCCACGCAGUUGUGUUACUUUACAACUAUUACUACAGGAAGCAGCAUACACAUCUAGAAUUUCUAGGAUUUGAGAACUUCUGCAAGUUGGCUGUAAUUUUAAGACCUACUUUAUUAGUUCAUAUGAAGUUAAUGCAAUUAUCUGAUGAUACCGAGCUGGAUGACAUGGAAAAACAGCUUUCACUAACUGAGAAAAAGAUUAUGGAUGCAUGUGAUAUAGCUACAAGAUUAGAUGCAUCCAGAACUGCCCCAAGUACAGAGGGAUGGCCAAUUUCCAAGGUUGUUGUUUUUCUAAUAGAUUUGAGAAAGGAGAAUUGCUUGCUGCAAUUUGGUUCCAUCACUGAAGGAGUUUGGUCGAUGAUUGAGCAAGACUUGGAACUUCCUAAUAACAAUUUAAAUGGUAGCAUGGAUUCAAAUCAAGUGAACAAAAAGACAAGAUUUAUUAGAAAACCAUUCAGAAAUGAGUCGGAUGCUAAUGAAGCAGUUCAUAAGCAACUUGCAUUUUCAGCUGUCAAGGAAGCAACAGGCAUUAAUGAGAGAGACCUUAUGAUUUUGGAGAAACAUGUUGUAUAUUCUAUGAGUAAAGAAAAGGCAGCUGCGUGCUUUUAUAUAAUGCAGUGCACUCUACCAAACAACAAUCAUAUUAUCCAAAUUCCCAUUGAAGAUGCUAUUAAUAGGUUUGGUUAUAGCACAGCCUUACCUUUCACUUUCUUAAUUUCUUUGCUUUUUCCUUAGCAAUGCUCUCAACAUCGGUUUCUGGUUAGAGUAUGGGUUGCAUUUUGACUUGUAGUUUGGAUGUUUUGAUUUUUUUCUUUGCUUGGGUGCAGUAUUGCAUGUGAUAAUGAGUAAAGCGCACCCUGUUAGAUUCAGAGCAAGCAUUUCAACUAUAUAAAUGUGUCUCAGUUUGUGUGCACACAUGUAUUAAAUUUAAUUUUCUGAGAGGCAUCUGCUAAACACCUUCAACUUAGAUAUGGACUAUGUGCUGGACGUUUUUAUCAUAAAAUUAUAUGCAAGUCUAUGCACACACGAUAACUGUAAUGUAUUUUUCUAUAAUUUGUUUAAUUAUAUAAAUAGAAAAUUGUGCACAAUAUCUGUAAAUUGCUCUUAUGCAGAUACAGAACUGAUAUGCAAGCCUAGCAUUUUCUAAUACUGAUUGGUGUGAUAGUGAGGUUGCUUUACUAUUGGGUAUUGGCUUGAAGAAAAAGGUUCUGCAAGGUUUCUGACUUCCGUUUUUCUUUUUCCACUCUAAAUCCAAAUUUCUUUGAAUUCCUUGACUUUUUUAUUCUUUGCAAAUCUUUAUUUUAAACAUUAGUGUGUUGGAUCUUAAUCCAUUCUUAGAAAGAUGAAUAAUAGACGCAGUUACGAAUUGACAUGGUACUUAUGUGCGAGCAGAACCUGUUUUUGUUCAGGUCAACUUUUGCUGCCGCAGGCAUCAUGAUUAUUAUUAUUUUUUUAAUCGUUAUCUCACAGAUCUAAAUAUUGAAUGCAAAGGUGUGGGGGAAAAUGAUGAUGGUAGUUGGAUGGUGACCUCAGAAAGAAUUAUAUUGGGUUACAUCUUUUUCACUCAUGUUAUUAACUUUAGAAGCUACUAUGGUUAAUUGAUUACCGCAUUGGUUUCAAAUAAUGCCUGAUUAUGUAAAUGGUGAAAUUUUCCAGAUGAUUCACCGUUUAUUAUCCUUUGUGGCCCUAAAUCGAAUAGAAAGGAGGGGGAGGAGAAUAUUUACUGAUUUCAUCUAAUUUGGGAAUGAGAUUUUGACAAUCGAAGUUCGAUCUUCAAUCACUAGUUGUGCUGCUUCCAACAAGAGACAGGAUAUUAUUUGACUUCUGUUGAAUUGUGUUUCUAAGGCUUAGUUGUGUUUUUGAAUUGGGUUUUCUGACUUGCAUUGCACUUGAACAGGCUGAAUAAUUUGAAAAAAAAAAUUUAAAUCUUCUGAGAAAACAAUUUGUCUCUACUGUAAGUAGCUUGCAGGGCCCUUUGUUUGUAAGGAGUUCUAGCCAAUGGAUGCACACCAAAGUUGUUGAGUACUUCCAUUUACUUCCUUAUGCUGAGAUUCUAUCUGACUGGCUUGCCAGGGAAAUGCUUCCCAAUAGUUCACAAGUGCAAAGAGUAGGAUCCAAAACCAUAAAUGUAAACAGUUCCAAAAAGUUUAAAAAACCUUGCGAGUCAGAAGUUCCUGAAAAGGAGGAACUAGGCAGCAAGACAGGCUCUGGAUCAACAAAGCAGAAUGAGGAUGAUGGGUCUCGUGUGAUUGAGUUGCUUGAUGAUGGACUAUGCAAUAUGGAGGUGGAUAACUCUUUUGUGAUUCACACCCAAACCAAGGAGAAAGGCUCAGAUGUUUCUAGUAAAGUUCCACAUGACAACUACCAGAAAAUGACAACUUCUAUAGAUGGAUGUUUACAUGGCUUGACUGAUGGGGCUACGGCUGACUCCUUGAAGAGGCAGAGACUUACUGAAUGUGGAGAUGGAACUGGAACUGUUGUGGGUGGAGACAGAAAAUGUAACAAUAUCUCUUCAGAUCAAGAUGGGAUGCCAAUAAAUGACAGUGGACUUGUCAAACAUCAGUCAAAUUCCAAUGAUCUUGACAAAAUGCAUACCAUCAUAGCUUCAAGAGAUCAGGAACUGUCACAAGCUGCUUUGAGAGUUAUUUUAAGUAAAAGAGCUAAAUUGUGUUUUCAGCUACGGGAUAUACAAGAUCAGAUUGCUCAGUGUGAUAAAAAUAUGCAGAUAAUUUUGAAUGGUGGUGAAGGUAAUUUGGCCGUGAAGAUAGAAUCCCUUAUAGAAGGUUGUAGUGAUGUGUCCUUGAGAAGUCUUAGCCAAGAUACAACUUAUCAACAUGGCAAGGACCAAUCCUUACCUCAAUUUAUCAAAAGUAUACCCAGUACGCAAAAUCCUUGUCAGGAAUUGGAUGAUUUAUGUUAUCAAAACAAUUGGAUAUUACCGACUUACAGUGUGACUGCAAUAGAUGGUGGAUUCCAAGCCAAAGUAAUUGUGAAAGGGAUAGACUUCGAGUAUUCAAGUGAUGGCGAUUUGCAUCUCCAUCCACGUGAAGCAAGAGAUUCAGCUGCUGCUCAGAUGUUGGUCAAAUUGCUUAAAGAGCCAAACAUGAAAGCUCUCAAAGUUCUUUGAAGCAAAUCUGGAUUCCCUAUAACUGGCUAGCAAUAGAAGAUUAGUAUGAGUUUUAGAGUUUCAAGGUCUUGGCAUUUUGAUGUUUCUCACAACCCAUUAAAAUAGAAACCUGGGGAAAGAGAGAAUAGAAAGAGAAAAAAAAAAAAAAAAAAAAAA